Molecule: non-coding RNA, 249 nt
Organism: Coturnix japonica (Japanese quail)
Lineage: Eukaryota; Metazoa; Chordata; Aves; Galliformes; Phasianidae
Source: RefSeq, a predicted model, not a curated record
GUCAAUAAAAUCAGGUCAUUCAGUGGAAGUUCUCCUACACAGAAGUUGCUGGGUGCAUGGGAGAAAGAGGACUAAAUAAAAUCAGCUCUAAGAGUAUCUCCCUGAAACUGCACAUUAUGCAGCCCACCCUCCAAUGCCUGCAGAAAGCAACUCUAACAGAGGAAGAAGAGGAAAUAAAUCAGACGUGCUACAAGUGGAAGACCUGUGUCCACUUUCAAAGUCCACAGCUUCAGCAUCCUUGGCACCCAG